Molecule: ribosomal RNA, 467 nt
Filed under: uncultured bacterium
Lineage: Bacteria
Description: partial 16S ribosomal RNA
Rfam family: Bacterial small subunit ribosomal RNA
Source: RNAcentral
GACGAACGCUGGCGGCGUGCUUAACACACGCAAGUCGAACGGAAAGGCCCUGCUUUUGUGGGGUGCUCGAGUGGCGAACGGGUGAGUAACACGUGAGUAACCUGCCCUUGACUUUGGGAUAACUUCAGGAAACUGGGGCUAAUACCGGAUAGGAGCUCCUGCUGCAUGGUGGGGGUUGGAAAGUUUCGGCGGUUGGGGAUGGACUCGCGGCUUAUCAGCUUGUUGGUGGGGUAGUGGCUUACCAAGGCUUUGACGGGUAGCCGGCCUGAGAGGGUGACCGGCCAAAUGGGGACGGAGAUACGGCCCAGACUCCUAGGGGAGGAAGCAGGGGGGAAUAUUGAAAAAGGGGGGGAAGCCGGAGGCAGCAACGCCGGGGGGGGGAGGACGGCCUUCGGGGUGUAAACCGCUUUCGCCUGGGACGAAGGGUGGGUGACGGAAAUGGGGAAAGAAGCACCGGAUAACUAAGU